Oryzias melastigma (Indian medaka) is the source of this 771-nucleotide long non-coding RNA. RefSeq lists it as uncharacterized. The transcript is spliced from 2 exons. NCBI's taxonomy places the organism in Eukaryota, Metazoa, Chordata, Actinopteri, Beloniformes, Adrianichthyidae. The record is from RefSeq and is a predicted model, not a curated record.
CCCCUCCUGCAGCAGCUAGUCUCGCCGACGAUGCAGGCGAGGCGCUGCGGGGUCUCAAACACACCUAAUGCAUUUCCAAGGGGGGACAUAGCUUGCUAAAUCCAUUAUUUUUACAGUCAAUGGUCUCAACACGCGCUUCGCGGAAGCUCCUCCUCCACUACUCCACACACGCCUCGAAGCUUCGAAACAGAACGUCACAUCACUAUUUCCAACCACUGAUAACCACAAAAUGCGCUGUGUGUUUUCCUGAAGUCAUGCUGCUCGUAGAUCCAGGAGUGUACAUCGGCACUGUCGCUGACCUGAACGACAGCCAGGCGCUUUCUGCAGCUUCUGUCUCUCACAUCCUGUCUGUGGACUAGAAGUGAUUUUGGAUGACUCUUUUUGCUGAUACAGUCAAGAUUAGAGGCUGAAAAGUAAUCUUCAUCAUUUGUUAAAACACUUGUUGGAACGUUCGUCACGUCAAAUAGGUUUCUGUGUCUUUCUCGUCUUACUUUAAGAAAGAAAGAUAGACAGAUGGAUAGAUGGAUGGAUGGAUAGAUGGAUGGAUGGAUAGAUGGAAGGAAAGAGGUGACAUUGAAUUGCAAAUAUGAAUCUAAGAACAGCAGAAUCAUUAGUAUUUUAAGAAAAUCAUUGGUUGUUAUUAUAACAUACUGACUGCUUUUUUCACCUUAUCAGUAAAUGUUAAAACUAUGAUUUUAUUGUCAUCUGUGGUUAUUGUAUUUAUAUUGUUUUUCUGUUCUGUAAGAGUUCAGCCUCGUAGAGUUAUCCUGA